GACGAACGCUGGCGGCGUGCCUAAUACAUGCAAGUAGAACGCUGAAGAGAGGAGCUUGCUCUUCUUGGAUGAGUUGCGAACGGGUGAGUAACGCGUAGGUAACCUGCCUUGUAGCGGGGGAUAACUAUUGGAAACGAUAGCUAAUACCGCAUAACAAUGGAUGACACAUGUCAUUUAUUUGAAAGGGGCAAUUGCUCCACUACAAGAUGGACCUGCGUUGUAUUAGCUAGUAGGUGAGGUAACGGCUCACCUAGGCGACGAUACAUAGCCGACCUGAGAGGGUGAUCGGCCACACUGGGACUGAGACACGGCCCAGACUCCUACGGGAGGCAGCAGUAGGGAAUCUUCGGCAAUGGGGGCAACCCUGACCGAGCAACGCCGCGUGAGUGAAGAAGGUUUUCGGAUCGUAAAGCUCUGUUGUAAGUCAAGAACGAGUGUGAGAGUGGAAAGUUCACACUGUGACGGUAGCUUACCAGAAAGGGACGGCUAA
RNAcentral lists this ribosomal RNA (490 nucleotides) under Streptococcus sp. oral taxon C65. RNAcentral describes it as "bacterial SSU rRNA". It matches the Rfam family "Bacterial small subunit ribosomal RNA", at positions 28 to 500 of the family's 1533-position model. The record is from RNAcentral. Lineage: Bacteria; Bacillati; Bacillota; Bacilli; Lactobacillales; Streptococcaceae.